RNAcentral lists this ribosomal RNA (207 nucleotides) under uncultured bacterium. RNAcentral's name for it is "partial 16S ribosomal RNA". It matches the Rfam family "Bacterial small subunit ribosomal RNA", at positions 1286 to 1500 of the family's 1533-position model. The record is from RNAcentral.
UCUCAGUUCGGAUUGGAGUCUGCAACCCGACUCCAUGAAGCUGGAUUCGCUAGUAAUCGCGCAUCAGCCACGGCGCGGUGAAUACGUUCCCGGGCCUUGUACACACCGCCCGUCAAGCCAUGGAAGCCGGGAGUGCCUGAAGUGCGUGAGCGCAAGCAGCGCCCUAAGGUAAAACCGGUGACUGGGGCUAAGUCGUAACAAGGUAAC